RNAcentral lists this ribosomal RNA (506 nucleotides) under uncultured bacterium. Its description in RNAcentral is "bacterial SSU rRNA". It matches the Rfam family "Bacterial small subunit ribosomal RNA", at positions 791 to 1296 of the family's 1533-position model. The record is from RNAcentral.
UAGUCCACGCUGUAAACGAUGUCUACUAGCUGUUGGGUUCCUUGAGGACUUAGUGGCGCAGCUAACGCGAUAAGUAGACCGCCUGGGGAGUACGUUCGCAAGAAUGAAACUCAAAGGAAUUGACGGGGGUCCGCACAAGCGGUGGAGUCAUUGUGGUUUAAUUCGAUGAUACGCGAGGAACCUUACCUGGGCUCUAAUGUGACUGCUAUCUGGUGAAAGCCGGAGUUCCUUCGGGACAGGAAACAAGGUGCUGCAUGGUUGUCGUCAGCUCGUGCCGUGAGGUGUUGGGUUAAGUCCCGCAACGAGCGCAACCCCUAUUGUUAGUUGCCAACACGUAAUGGUGGGGACUCUAGCAAGACUGCCGGCGUAAGCCGAGAGGAAGGUGGGGAUGACGUCAAAUCAUCAUGGCCUUUAUGCCCAGGGCGACACACGUGCUACAAUGGUGCAUACAGAGGGUUGCCAAGCCGCGAGGUGGAGCUAAUCCCAGAAAGUGCAUCCCAGUUCGG